This 3605-nucleotide long non-coding RNA is filed under the name Solanum melongena (eggplant). Its description in RNAcentral is "long non-coding RNA (SMEL_LNC000017)". The record is from RNAcentral. Lineage: Eukaryota; Viridiplantae; Streptophyta; Magnoliopsida; Solanales; Solanaceae.
CCCCUUUUUUGUAUUUCCUUAAUUUAUUUCCUUAAUUGAAUUUCGGUUGAUUAAGACGAAGUUCCUUAAAAACCUCUGCCUUCUUUAAAAUAUCCUGAACAGUUUCUGUAGGUUGAGCCCCUUUUUCAAGGAAAUAUAAAAUAGCAGGAACAUUUAAAUAAGUUUGAUUCUUUAUCGGAUCAUAAAAACCCACUUUCUGAAGAUCUUUUCCUUCUCUUCGGGAUCGAACAUCAAUUGCAACGAUUCGAUAGACGGCUCAUUGGGAUAGAUGUAGAUGAACAACACCCCCCCUAGAAACGUAUAGGAAGCUUUCUCCUCGUACGGCUCGAGAAAAAUGAUUGAUUCGAAGUUUUGUCUUUGUAUGGAAUUCUAUCUAAGAAAUGACAACUGGAUCCAUAAAAUGAUCAAAGCAAUUAAAGAUCUAAGUCUUUUUUUCUUCGUUCUUCCUUAAAAUGAAAAAUAAACCAUUCGUACUCUCAUAACUCAAGUUGGAUAACUUUCAAACAGUUCAAAGGAAAAUCUUUCGGCAAUUUCAUUUAUUGAGCGGUCUUUCCUCCUUUUUUGUUUGUCUCGUUUAAAAUCGGAUUCUUCAGUCUGAUCCAGUUAUUAAGACAAUUAAAAAGGUGUUUCCUUGUUCUGGGAUCCUUUAUCUUUGUUUUAUUUUAAAUCAUUGGGUUUAGACAUUACUUCGGUGCUUUUUAAUCCUUUCAAAAUGGCAGCAACAUACCCUUUUUGCGAUUUUUAUGAAAGAAUCCUACAAGAUGAUGGAUUCCCUCGUGAAACACUUUGGAUCGAAAAAGUUUGAUCAAUUCCAAUAAAUUUUUUAAUUUGAAACUUGCUCGAAUUGGAUUCUUUCGAUUUCCAUACCUAAGAUAUAUUAGAUAUAUUUACGAAGUUGUUUCAAUUGUUUUAUUGAUUGGCAUUAACCCUAGACCCUUGCCCCGAGAAAGAAAUUAAUACUUUCUACUCGAGCUCCAUCAUGGACUAUUUACAUUCCAAGACAACAAAAAACGAGGGGUUCUAGUGAAACAGAACCAAUGAUGUCGAGUUAAGAGCACCUUCAUUCCUACAAAAAAUGGUGGAUGUACAAAUCCACAACGGAUCGUGUCCUUCAAGUCGCACGUUGCUUUCUACCACAUCGUUUCAAACGAAGUUUUACCAUAACAUUCCUCUAAGAACCGGUAUGGAAUUGAUUCAAUUAUGGAAUCAUGAAUAGUCAUUGGUUGGGCUGAUGUAUAAACACCAUAAUCUAAAGUAUUUUCUAUAUCUUCUAUAUCUAUAGUAUAUAGAUAUAAAUAAUACUAUAGAUUAAUACUAUAGAUAUAGGGUGGAUAAAUAUUUUUCUGAAGAAGUCUUAGUAAGACCCCAUCGCUAAUAUUAAAUUGUCUAACAUUAUAAUAUUAAUUAAUAAAUAUAUAUAAUAAAAAAUUUUUUAUAUAAAUAAAAUAAGACGAAUAAACGAAUUCUUUUUAAUUCUGCAUCUUCACGUGACUUAAUAGGAGAGAAAGAUUCAGCUUCUAAGGAAUGAUUUAAACUAUUUCUCUUUCGAAAUUUCGAAUCAAUUUCGAAAGUUCCCCUCUCGACAUCAUUAUUCCAAGAAAAUUUGAUAGUUAAAAAUAACUUUUGAUCAUCUUAGGAAAAAAGAUAAGUCUUUUUUUUUUUUUUUUCAUCUGAUUAAUAAAAUCCAAAGAAUGGGGAGGGUUUCGUAUCUAUCAAUUCGAUCAAAUAGACUGAGCAAUUGUCACCGUUUAUAGAUAUUGAAAUGAACGCCUUCCCAUCACUGAUUAACUCCUAUCUACCCCAUUCUCUGGGACUGAUGCAGCAUAAAUCAAAAGAAGGGGAUGUCCUAGUCUUUUUUUUUACGAAAUGCGAGCUGGCUGGGCACAAAGCCAAACAAGCCCAGAUUAAGUCCAGUUUUUGCUCCUUUUUUCUAUUUUAGCCUACCUCAUUGAUUAAGAAUUAAGAGACUUAGUGAAUUGAAUUAGUACCAAAAACCCCUUCUUGGCGAAAAGUCAAGAAAUCCACAAAAAAGCAAAUUGAAUCUAAUUAGGCUAAUUUAGGGGGUAGAGAAUAUGAGAUAGGGAAUAUGGAUUCUUUCGUAUCUCGAUUCAGUUUUUGAAAAAAAAAAAAACGAUUCAUCGAAGAAAAAAAUCAGAAACAACAAUCACAUUCCAGCUAACAUUUCGAUUUUAAACAGAACAUUGUUAAAAAAGCAAUCUAUAUUGUCAGAGAAUAUAUAUGUUCUGGGACGGAAGGAUUCGAACCUCCGAAUAGCGGGACCAAAACCCGUUGCCUUACCACUUGGCCACGCCCCAUUUAGAUUUCUAUGCGAUACUAAUAAAGUAUAUUGCUGGUUUUGUUUGUUUGUCAACUCUAGCCCAAAUAUCUAUAGAAUCGAUUAGAUUGGUAUUCGGAUUUUUCUAUGUUUUUGGUAUGUGUAGAUAUAGAAUUCAACUUAAUUUAUUGAUCAUUACAUAUAAUUCAAUUAAGAUAUUGUAUGAAAAUAUUAUUUUUUCGAUUCUCCUUUUCUCAAAGGAGGAUUUUUGAUUGGGUGGGUUCAAAGAAAAAGAAGGAUUUUUUGUUUACCUUACUUACUUUCCUUUUCCUUAUAACUUACUUUCCUUUUCCUUAUAUAAAUAACUCAAUCAAAAUGCAAUUAUCUCCAAGAACAAAAAGUCUGUUAUGCUUAAUACCUUUAGUUUGAUCGGUAUCUGUCUUAAUUCGACCCUUUAUUCGAGUAGUUUUUUCUUCGGCAAAUUGCCCGAGGCCUAUGCUUUUUUGAAUCCAAUCGUAGAUAUUAUGCCAGUCAUACCUCUGUUCUUUUUUCUCUUAGCCUUUGUUUGGCAAGCUGCUGUAAGUUUUCGAUGAGAUCCUUAAUAAUAUCCUAGAAAAUUCAUGAUUUAUUCGAGAAAAAAUUCGAAAAUCAAUAAAAUCAGAUAAGCUUUACCGUUUGAAAUCUCGAUUCAAACAUUGAAAUUCUUGGAUAGUCACGAGAAAUCCGGCUUAACUUAAUUUCCUUCUUUUUUGGCGCUUUCCUUUCCAGUGAAAGACCUUAUUAGGCUCCUCUUGUAUAUAUAAAAAAUUUGGUUAAUGACAAACUCUUAUUAUAAAAGAAUUUCUGAAAAUUCUUUUAGAGAAAAAGCUUCGUUGCUUGGUGUCAAACUAGGAUAUGCGAUGGAUGAUCUAUUCUCUUUUUUUUUUUCAAAAAAAUCAUCUUGGAGAUUGUGUAAUGCUUACUCUCAAACUCUUCGUUUACACAGUAGUGAUAUUUUUUGUUUCUCUCUUCAUCUUUGGAUUCCUAUCUAAUGAUCCCGGACGUAAUCCUGGACGUGAAGAAUAAAAUAAAAAAGUUUUUUCCUUGCUUGAUUUUCAAAUUUUCUUAGGAUUUGGUCUAUUCCACACAUUUAACUAAGAAUAAGAACAAAGGAUUUCGAAAUUUGAAAAAAAAAAAUCAAGUCAUCAACGGAAAGAGAGGGAUUCGAACCCUCGGUACGAUUAACUCGUACAACGGAUUAGCAAUCCGCCGCUUUAGUCCACUCAGCCAUCUCUCCCAAUUGAAAAAGAUAAUUAAUACAUGAGAUAGCACAUUAAGAUAAAGGAAAGAA